CUGAAGGCAUGAAAAAACUAUACUACCACCUUCACUGAAAGGGGAACGUGGUGAAAACUAGUGGAUCCUCCAAGCAACCACCUCAGGCUUAGAUUACAGCAAGGGACCCAGCACAAAUAUUGGCUGUGUGUAUGAAAAACCCCUUCACAUGUGCAGGGAAGCUGUUCAGCUUCUCUUGGUGUCAGGUUUUCCCUGCAGUCUCAGAGUAACUCAACAAUUAGUGUCAGGGCCUUCCUCUAAAGCUCAGGGAGAAGAAAAGCACAGUCAAAGGCUUGGCUUUAAGAAAAGAAACCAUAAAAGCCCCUUUCAAAGUUAGGAAUGUAAUUCCAAAACGAGUUAAGCAAGCCCUACACGUUAUUAGCUGGGCAGGAGGGAUCUGGGACAUGUGACAAUGGGAUCUUGGUACACAUCACCAAAAAAAAAAAAAAAAUUUCCAAGCCUUAGCAGGUGUAACCUAUUUAUCACUGUAAUUUUUACAGGCAGUUUGCUGAUAAUUCUGUACAGACAAACCACUCCUCCUGUCAGCACACGGCUGGCUGAUCUGCACCUGGAGCAGGAGCCCAGCAAAGACAGCUGAGAACACCUUGGAUUUCAAGUAACAAGAGUCUGCAUCAAAUGUACCAGAUCAGGGGAAACAGCACUCUCACAAACUGGGACCCUUCCAGCAUCGUAACAUCUAUUAAAGUGUCUCAAGAAUAACUACAUUAAAAAGAUCCACUUUCUCUUUAA
Molecule: long non-coding RNA, 729 nt
Organism: Corvus hawaiiensis (hawaiian crow)
Lineage: Eukaryota; Metazoa; Chordata; Aves; Passeriformes; Corvidae
Exons: 2
Source: RefSeq, a predicted model, not a curated record